UGCUGCUAGGUUGGAGGGGCAAGGUGACCAUCUCUGGGUCGGCAGGGGCGGCCGCCCCUUCAGCCUCCUGUUCCUGCUGAUGGUGGCGAGGGAACCUUUGCUCUGAGUGUGGUUCUUAUUGGAAUGGGACGCACUGUCACUCUUUAAACAAUGUAUUGUGCCUCAGGUGCUGCAAGAUGUCAUGUUGGAGCAUUGCAGACUGCUCUUCUCCCUUCUGCCUUUACAUACAAGAUGCCUGUUGCUGAGAACACUUGUUCCCACUUCUCUAGCAGGCAAGGAUCUGGGCAGGACAACAACCACAGGCAUGUGCUUUCUCAUCAUGUGAUGUCAUCUGCCAGGUCAUGAUGCAGCAAGAAGGCCCUCACCAGAUGCCACCCCUCCAGAACCAUGAGCCAAAUAAA
This 401-nucleotide long non-coding RNA is filed under the name Homo sapiens (human). Its description in RNAcentral is "HSALNT0365817". Lineage: Eukaryota; Metazoa; Chordata; Mammalia; Primates; Hominidae. The record is from RNAcentral.